RNAcentral lists this ribosomal RNA (199 nucleotides) under uncultured bacterium. RNAcentral describes it as "partial 16S ribosomal RNA". It matches the Rfam family "Bacterial small subunit ribosomal RNA", at positions 335 to 526 of the family's 1533-position model. The record is from RNAcentral.
ACUCCUACGGGAGGCAGCAGUGGGGAAUUUUGGACAAUGGGCGAAAGCCUGAUCCAGCCAUGCCGCGUGCAGGAUGAAGGCCUUCGGGUUGUAAACUGCUUUUGUACGGAACGAAAAGACUCCUUCUAAUAAAGGGGGUCCAUGACGGUACCGUAAGAAUAAGCACCGGCUAACUACGUGCCAGCAGCCGCGGUAAUAC